RNAcentral lists this long non-coding RNA (237 nucleotides) under Nicotiana benthamiana. Its description in RNAcentral is "long non-coding RNA (NBEN_LNC009242)". Lineage: Eukaryota; Viridiplantae; Streptophyta; Magnoliopsida; Solanales; Solanaceae. The record is from RNAcentral.
UUCAUUCUGUCCUAUGCGCCGAGGAUCGCUUGGAAGCAGCCUCUCUGCCCUUUUGGGUAGGGGUAAGGCUGUCUACAUAUUACCUUCCCCAGACCCCACCUGGUGGGAGUAUACUGGGUAGUUUUUUGGGUAGGGGUAAGGCUGUCUACAUAUUACCUUCCCCAGACCCCGCCUGGUGGGAGUAUACUGGGUAGUUGUUGUUGUUGUUGUCUCUUUCAAGAAUGGCUGCCGUUUGUG